RNAcentral lists this transfer RNA (66 nucleotides) under Ocypode ceratophthalmus. RNAcentral describes it as "tRNA-Thr". It matches the Rfam family "tRNA". Rfam says of the family: Transfer RNA (tRNA) molecules are approximately 80 nucleotides in length. Their secondary structure includes four short double-helical elements and three loops (D, anti-codon, and T loops). The record is from RNAcentral. Lineage: Eukaryota; Metazoa; Arthropoda; Malacostraca; Decapoda; Ocypodidae.
GUUUUAAUAGUUUAAAUUUAAAACUCUGGUCUUGUAAACCAGAAAUGAAAUGAUUUUCUUAAAACU